AGCAUCCGACCCACCCGACCCGACCGGUCCUUAUUUUCCCGUUACGUUGUCCCUCGUAACCUGAGACAGGGAGAUGCAGCCGUUGCAUCUGAGACCCAUCAACGUCUCUCUUGCGGCCAUGACCACGAAGAAGAGAAAAAGAUCCCCGAAACUGAUCCCACCCACUCCCUCAACGCCCCCGACUCCCCAAACCCAGGCCCGUCAUUCUCUCAACACCGCAAAAGCCCGGGCCUGGGCCCCUCUCAACUUGACCCAGGCCGAACUCUCUCUGCCACUCACCUUUCCCACGGGCCAAACCUUCCGCUGGAAAAACACCGCCCCUCUAGAAUACACAGGCGUCGUUGGGCCCCACCUCGUAACCCUCAAACACCUCCAAAACGGCGACGUUUGCUACUGUCUCCACUCCCACUCUCACCCCGAAAAAGCCGAAACCGCCUUGCUAGAUUUCCUUAACGCCGCCGUUUCUCUCGCCGGCUUAUGGAAAGCGUUUUCCGCUUCCGAUGCGAGGUUCGCGGCGCUAGCGCGCCACUUGAGCGGUGCGAGGGUGCUCCGGCAAGACCCUUUCGAGUGUUUGAUUCAGUUUCUGUGCUCUUCCAAUAACAACAUUGCACGAAUCACGAAGAUGGUUGACCACGUGUCGUCCCUGGGAGUGCACGUGGGAGACGUUGGAGGGUUUCAGUUUCACAUUUUCCCUUCUUUGGAGCAACUUUCCUCCAUCUCAGAGCAACAACUCAGAGACGCGGGUUUCGGUUACAGAGCUAAAUAUAUAAUCGGAACGGUUAAUGCUUUGCGAUCAAAACCUGGUGGAGGCGAAGAGUGGCUUCGUUCUCUGCGUGAGCUGGAUCUUCCAGAUGUUAUAUCUGCUCUUUCUACGUUACCUGGUGUGGGCCCUAAAGUGGCUGCUUGCAUUGCUCUCUUCUCGCUUGAUCAACACCAUGCCGUUCCUGUUGACACUCACGUUUGGCGGAUUGCCACCAAGUAUCUCUUACCUGAGCUUGCAGGUUCGCAGUUGACACCAAAGCUCUGUAAUCGUGUUGCAGAGGCAUUUGUUACCAAGUAUGGUAAAUAUGCCGGGUGGGCACAGACUCUAUUGUUCAUAGCUGAAUUACCUUCACAGAAGGCCAUCAUACCUUCACAUUUGAGGACUAUCAAACAACGGAAUCCUGCAAAGGUAGAAGAUGGCGAAGAAGAAGUUGAGUGAGAUCUGCAUAUGACUCUGAGGACAUAAAUGUACGAGAUUUAGGUGUGACAUGCUGCUGUCAAGAAUUCAUUAGUUUACUGAUGCCAAGCAUCAUCUGUCAAGAGAAUGAAUUCUUGCUGACAAAGGACAAUCAAUGAACUUGUUGAAAAUUCCUCACAACUAAUGACAAAUUCUUUCUCUAAACCCUCCCUUGCUUAUAUUUUGGAGGUGUCUAAAUGUGCAUCUGCAGGGAGAAAUAGAGAUACAGGGCCAUGCUGUCGUAUAUAUUUCCUUUAUCUAUACACCUGGUCUCUCUGCAUCCAUGUUAAGAAGAUAGAUCAUUCCUGUUUGCACAUAAUCUGUAUCUUUUACUGUGAUGUGAUGUAAACUGUGUCCAGAGUGAUUUCAAGUGGGUUCCCAGUUUCUUCUUCUAGCAGAACUAGUAGAUUCCCUGUAGAUUUUAGGAGGGAUCGGGGUAUGUGAUACCUGAAUAAAAAGUGUUAAAUUGUAAGUGAAUAAAUGCCUGACAUGCAGGUAGGAGACUUAUUAUAUCAUUAGGUGUCAAAGCAGAGUAAAAUCAGAAUUUUGAAGUGUGAAUAAAUAGAGAAUUUAUUUACUCUAGAUGACCAUUUAGAAUAACUACAGGGGAAAAAAAAAAAGAAAAACAAGAAAAGAAUGUAUAGUAAAAAGAAUUAUCUUUUAUUUCUCACAAAUAGGGUUACCCAUUUUAAAAAUGGCUACACAAUUGAAGAAGUUAUAAUAUUUUAUUUGUGUUUUUUUUUUUUAUUUAACUGAAGAAAUUAUUGUUUUGGAAAGCUGUCUUAGUUGUGGUCAAUCCGAGCCCGCUUUAGUCGUGGUCUCUUUGAGGGUUACCUUAAUUGCAACCUGAAGAGUGACGGUUUACUUUAUCCUCAAGUAAAUAUAUAGCGAUCAUCCUCAAUUUUAACAUGUUUGUUUGUGGAAUUGAAUUGGGUUACAAAACCAAUUCCCAGGGUUCAUUAAAAUAUUCUGUAUCUUUUACUCUUAUUUUAAAAUAAUUACAUUACUAUGUAUUAUAAUCAUUGGGGGAGGAGCUUCCUUGAAAUUGGCAUCCUUCAUGUUUUGU
Vigna radiata var. radiata (mung bean) is the source of this 2285-nucleotide RNA transcript. It is a transcript of the gene named N-glycosylase/DNA lyase OGG1, with no coding region annotated. The transcript has 5 exons. Lineage: Eukaryota; Viridiplantae; Streptophyta; Magnoliopsida; Fabales; Fabaceae. The record is from RefSeq and is a predicted model, not a curated record.